GGCUGGGUGGCUCAGUGGUUAAGAGCACUGGCUUUUUAUUCCAGAGAACCUGGGUUCGAUUCCCAGUGCCCACAACCA
Non-coding RNA from Apodemus sylvaticus (European woodmouse), 78 nucleotides. The record is from the annotation of a RefSeq genome assembly. NCBI's taxonomy places the organism in Eukaryota, Metazoa, Chordata, Mammalia, Rodentia, Muridae.